GACGAGGGAUCCUAGCGUUGUUCGGAAUUAUUGGGCGUAAAGCGGGUGUAGGCGGAUCUGUAAGUCAGGUGUGAAAUCCCAGGGCUCAACCCUGGAAGUGCACUUGAUACUGCUGAUCUUGAGUGUGGUAGAGGUUACUGGAAUUCCUGGUGUAGUGGUAAAAUACGUAGAUAUCAGGAGGAAUACCGGAGGCGAAGGCGAGUAACUGGGCCAACACUGACGCUGAGACCCGAAAGCGUGGGGAUCAAACAGG
Molecule: ribosomal RNA, 253 nt
Filed under: uncultured bacterium
Lineage: Bacteria
Description: partial 16S ribosomal RNA
Rfam family: Bacterial small subunit ribosomal RNA
Source: RNAcentral